Molecule: ribosomal RNA, 723 nt
Filed under: Aeromicrobium massiliense
Lineage: Bacteria; Bacillati; Actinomycetota; Actinomycetes; Propionibacteriales; Nocardioidaceae
Description: bacterial SSU rRNA
Source: RNAcentral
GCGGUUUGUCACGUCGGGAGUGAAAACUCAGGGCUUAACCCUGAGCGUGCUUCCGAUACGGGCUGACUAGAGGGAUGCAGGGGAGAACGGAAUUCCUGGUGUAGCGGUGGAAUGCGCAGAUAUCAGGAGGAACACCGGUGGCGAAGGCGGUUCUCUGGGCAUUUCCUGACGCUGAGGAGCGAAAGCAUGGGGAGCGAACAGGAUUAGAUACCCUGGUAGUCCAUGCCGUAAACGUUGGGCGCUAGGUGUGGGGACCUUCCACGGUUUCCGUGCCGCAGCUAACGCAUUAAGCGCCCCGCCUGGGGAGUACGGCCGCAAGGCUAAAACUCAAAGGAAUUGACGGGGGCCCGCACAAGCGGCGGARCAUGCUGAUUAAUUCGAUGCAACGCGAARAACCUUACCUGGGUUUGACAUAUGCCGGAAAGCGCCAGAGAUGGUGCCCCUUUUUGUCGGUAUACAGGUGGUGCAUGGCUGUCGUCAGCUCGUGUCGUGAGAUGUUGGGUUAAGUCCCGCAACGAGCGCAACCCUCNUCCUAUGUUGCCAGCACGUCAUGGUGGGGACUCAUAGGAGACUGCCGGGGUCAACUCGGAGGAAGGUGGGGAUGACGUCAAGUCAUCAUGCCCCUUAUGUCCAGGGCUUCAAGCAUGCUACAAUGGCCGGUACAAUGGGCUGCGAUACCGCGAGGUGGAGCGAAUCCCAAAAAGCCGGUCUCAGUUCGGAUUG